UAAAAACAAGCAAAGCCACCAGGAAAGAUGUGCACCUUUCAACUGAGCAGUCGGGAGGCUGAGACAGGGAGAAACCAGCCUGCAACCAGUCUGGGUCACACAAUCACGUCAGCUGUCCAUCCAUGGACUGAAACCUUUGGAAACGUGAGCUGAGUUCUGGUCCCUCCAUUUAAGUAAUUCCUCCCAGCACGAGAUGGGAAGCCCUGCCGUUCUUCUGAGUCACUGAGGGAUUUGGAUAUUAUUGGAUAUUUACAAGGAUGCUUGAUUUUAUUAGUACCUCAAAGGCCACACAAUCAACAGUCACAUGACGCAUGCAGGCUACAUGAACUGGAAUCUUGGAAGAAUGAUCCUCCAGGCGGAAGUACAGAACGAGAAGCAGAAAAGAGCCUGUCCCAAAGCCUGUCCGGGCUGGAACAGCACAGAGCUCAAGUUCACCUACCACUGGCUUCCUCCUUGACUGUCAGCCAGAAGUUCAGCAGCCAGGGAGACAGGGUCAUCUCCAUGGAGACCAGAAGAGCCAGGUUUCAGUGAUGGGAUCUGACAAGAUGACUACAGGAAGUCCUGCCUUCAAAAUCACCAUAGCGCCCUGUAAUCCCACCUCCAGCUCCUCAUCUGAAUGGCAUGAGGAAGGCUUGUACAAGGUAAUUGGCGAGCCCUCUUUCUGUCUGCAUGGCAUGUGUUGAGGAAGAGGCAAGUCUGGUCUCUGUGCAAACAGAAGGCAUGUAUUCCUCACCAUGGGUUUGAAGGAGAACUGAAGCUCUUCCCGUCCAGAUUGACCUGUACUUUCUGUUGUUUAUUUGGACCGAGAAUUAGCUUUGGACACAUCUACAGCAUGGAGUGAUUCCAUGCAGAGCUACAGACGACUUUUUAAUCAUCCUGUCAUGUAAUUAAGGGAUAAAAUAGGUCACAGGCAACCGAUGGAAAAGGGAAAAAAUAGGUUAUUCUCUUCAAUGAAGGCCACAUGUCUACAGCAUAAUCCUGGCGGGUUCUUGGGGUUUAUUUUUCCACUUUUGGUUUCGUUUUUUUUUUUUGUUUGUCUGUUUAUUUGGUUGUUUUUGGGACAGGAGAUAAUGCAGAUGGGCAUCAUUACAUAUUCAGAACCUGUAGACUGUGUUCAGUGCAGUGAUUCUGUUAUAUGACCCUUCCUUGGGAGGUAUGAAUAAACAUUUUUCUUCCCACAUGAACAGGCCAGCAAAAUCAUUCCCCCAAGUCAAGAUUAGUGAACUUGAUAGGUUACUAGGGUUACCUAAAGGGGCAUGGUAGACCCAAAGGCAGCUUCCUCAUCAAAAUGCCCACACCACCAUGGCUGAUGACUUGGAAAUGCUACAUCUUUGGAGUGCUCUGGUCAGCCUGCAAACAGCUUCCCCUCAAAGUCUCAUCUGACCAGAAGUUGUCUAGGCUACUACGAUAACCUGAGCAGGGGCUAUGUGAAUCUUGGGAUUCUGAGCUUUCUGGGAUUCCUGAGCCUCCUCAGCCCUUCAGGAAGAAAUGUUUCAAUUGAGAGGAAAUAGCUACCCAACAAGUAGGUGCAAAGCAGGGGACAGGAAUGGAGAACAUAGU
RNAcentral lists this small RNA (1560 nucleotides) under Rattus norvegicus (Norway rat). Its description in RNAcentral is "uncharacterized LOC108352046". The record is from RNAcentral. Lineage: Eukaryota; Metazoa; Chordata; Mammalia; Rodentia; Muridae.